This is a long non-coding RNA of Adelges cooleyi (spruce gall adelgid), 833 nucleotides long. RefSeq lists it as uncharacterized. The record is from RefSeq and is a predicted model, not a curated record. Lineage: Eukaryota; Metazoa; Arthropoda; Insecta; Hemiptera; Adelgidae. The transcript is spliced from 3 exons.
AUGAUAGCAUGCGUAUUGUAGUUAUGUCAUAACUCGUUAUUUUAUAAUUUUUUAAAUAUAUCAAUUGAUAAUAUUUGCUCUCGACUUUAUUUUGACGUUACAUUCUUGGACACACCAUUAAUUUAAUAGGUUGAAUGCUUUUUUCCGAAAAUCUUUUAUCAUUUAAAAAUCAAUGUUAUCAUGUCAGAAAUAUCUAUGGCGUUGAGAAUAGGCUAUACCAAUUACUAUGGAAAUGUCUUUUCAAUUGGACCCAAGACUGAAGACCUAACAAUUUUAUAUCAAGGUGUAAAUUAUAAAUAUAAAGCAUUAAUUUAAUAGGUUGAAUGCUUUUUUACUGAAAAUAUUUCAUCUUUUAAAAACCAAUGUUAUCAUGUAAAAUUGGUUUUGAGUAUGACAUAUCAAUUGCUAUGGAAAUGUCUUUCCAAUCGGACCUAAGACCUUACAAUUAUAUAUCAAGGUGUAAAUUAUAAGUAUAAAACAUUUAUUUCUAAUGUGACAUUUUUUCAUGUGAAUGUAUAAUAUCAACACUAAGCAAUUUGAAUGAAAAGUGUGUUGUGUUAACUUAAAAUAAUUAUUAAUGCAUGUAUUUGUGUAUGUGGGUUGAUAAUACUCAUAUACCCGUUUCAUUUAUUUUUAAAAAUAUCAGUAAUUAAUGUAUGAAUUUCAUACUACUACAUACAAGGAAUCGCUUCUUGAUUAUACCAAUAUUUAUAAUAAUAUGUAAGUAUAUUAUUUUUAUUUGAUUAAACUUAUCUAAGGUAGUUCAAAUGUCUGCUUUCAGUUUAGUUAUUUCUUACAAUGAUAUAACCCAUAUAUUGUGUGUCUGACAUACA